This 612-nucleotide long non-coding RNA is filed under the name Homo sapiens (human). RNAcentral's name for it is "HSALNT0050594". The record is from RNAcentral. Lineage: Eukaryota; Metazoa; Chordata; Mammalia; Primates; Hominidae.
CUACAGAGGCAGGCAGGCCUCCUUGAGCUGUGGUGGGCUCCACCCAGUUGGAGCUUCCCGGCUGCUUUGUUUACCUAAUCAAGCCUGGGCAAUGGCGGGCGCCCCUCCCCCAGCCUCGCUGCCGCCUUGCAGUUUGAUCUCAGACUGCUGUGCUAGCAAUCAGCGAGACUCCAUGGGCGUAGGACCCUCCAAGCCAGAUGAGGAGACGGAAGUCCAGAGGGUUUCAAUCGCUUGCCCAAAGUCACAGAGUCGGGAAGUGCAGAGCCAGGCCACUGCCUGGUUUUAAAUUCUGGGUGGAAAUGCAACGUGCCGGUCAACAUGGUGUGCUGAUGUUUCUGCCCUCUGGGGCCAAUUCCACCACUCCCUGGAAAGUGAUGUGAUGACCCUGGGCUUGAGUCCAAAGAACAUAGGAGAGUUUUGGCAGGUCGAUGGUGUGUUGGUGCCAACCCACUUAGAGCGAAAACUGUUUAAACCAGUUUUAAUUGGAUUUCCCUCACUUGCAACAAGGAAGACCUGAAUAAUAUUGCUUCUGUCUGUAUGUCCAAAUACUUUCAUUUUUCAAGAAGCAAUGUUAUACCAACGUCAGAACAAAGGAACACUUUAUGCUGAUCC